GGAUUCCCAGAGUAGCGGCGAGCGAAACGGGAAGAGCCCAGCGCUGAAUCCUGCCACCCGGGCGGGCGGCCGGGAAAUGUAGCGUUCGGUGGGAGAGUCAAAAAUAAACGCGCGGUCAUUAGUCACGGCUGCCGGUCCAAGUUCAUCUUGAACGGGGCCGCUUACCCGCAGAGGGUGCCAGGCCCGUGGCGACGGUAGCCGGCCGCGACGGUCUCCCCACCCAGAGUCGGGUUGCUUGAGAGUGCAGCCCUAAGCGGGUGGUAAACUCCAUCUAAGGCUAAAUACCACCACGAGACCGAUAGCGAACAAGUACCGUGAG
Molecule: ribosomal RNA, 319 nt
Filed under: Odontocerum cf. albicorne-Spain
Lineage: Eukaryota; Metazoa; Arthropoda; Insecta; Trichoptera; Odontoceridae
Description: eukaryotic LSU rRNA
Rfam family: Eukaryotic large subunit ribosomal RNA
Source: RNAcentral